GCCUGUUUGGCUCAGUGGAUAGAGCGUCAGCCUGUGGACUGAAGGGUCCCGGGUUCAAUUCCCAGUCAGGGCA
Molecule: transfer RNA, 73 nt
Filed under: Myotis lucifugus (little brown bat)
Lineage: Eukaryota; Metazoa; Chordata; Mammalia; Chiroptera; Vespertilionidae
Rfam family: tRNA
About the family: Transfer RNA (tRNA) molecules are approximately 80 nucleotides in length. Their secondary structure includes four short double-helical elements and three loops (D, anti-codon, and T loops).
Source: Rfam by way of RNAcentral